RNA transcript from Rhododendron vialii, 3051 nucleotides. It is a transcript of the gene named nucleolar complex-associated protein 2, with no coding region annotated. The transcript is spliced from 13 exons. NCBI's taxonomy places the organism in Eukaryota, Viridiplantae, Streptophyta, Magnoliopsida, Ericales, Ericaceae. The record is from RefSeq and is a predicted model, not a curated record.
ACUCAACAAACCAGAUUCAUAGUUUAGGGAUGAAAUAAGUAAUAUGAGUACAGUUCAGGGGAAUAGUGGCGCAAUUAACCCGGUUCGAACAGAGGAAAAUUCCUAGGGUUUUAGAACAGUGAGCAGGGUAUUAUCAUCGCCACAGUCGUCGUCGACGUUGUUCAUUUUCCCGCGUCGCCAUGGGAGCCAAAGGCAAAGGCAAGAAGUUAAAGAAGGAUGCCGAUGUAAAAAACAAGUCAAAGAACGACGUUGUUGAUUAUGAGGAGUUGAGUGAUGAAGUUGUUGAGGAAGAGGAAGAGGAAGAAGAAGAUAAAAGCAAUAAGAUGGGGUCUCGGCAGAAAGCUAGAGAGCACGUGCAGGAAUUGCAAAGACUUGCAGAAAAGGACCCGGAGUUCUUUCGGUUCUUGAAAGAGCAUGAUAAGGAGCUUCUUGAAUUCAAUGAUGAGGACGUUGAUGAGGAUGUUGAGACAGAGAUAGAUGACGAAAUGCAAAAGGACAAAGAAACUGACGGACAUGAUAUAGAACGCCAGGCCAGUAUCGCAGAAAAGGAAGAUAAGCAAUAUAAAAAGGUUAUAACUAGUGCAAUGGUUGACUCUUGGUGUGAUGCAAUCCGUGAAAAUAUGAAAUUAGGGGCAGUUCGUUCCCUCAUGAAAGCUUUUCACAGUGCUUGCCAUUAUGGUGAUGAUGGAGGGGACGAGUCUUCUACAAAGCUAAGUAUCAUGUCUAGCAGCGUGUUCAACAAAAUACUGUUGUUUGUUUUAAGUGAAAUGGAUGGAAUUCUUCGAGCAUUGUUAAAGCUCCCAACAUUUGGAGGAAAGAAGGAAACAGUUACAGAUUUACUUAGCACCAAGCAGUGGAAGAACUACAGCCACUUGGUGAAGUCUUAUCUUGGAAAUGCUCUUCAUGUCUUGAACCAGAUGACUGACACCGAAAUGAUAUCUUUCACGAUAAGGCGUCUUAGAUGUUCAUCAAUGUUUUUGGCUGCUUUCCCCAGCCUCUUGAGGAGAUAUAUUAAGGUUGUUAUUCAUUUCUGGGGUACAGGGGGAGGUGCACUACCUGUUGGCUCCUUUUUAUUUAUACGAGAUAUUUGUAUUCGGCUCGGCUCUGAUUGCUUAGAUGAAUGCUUUAGAGGGAUAUACAAAGCCUAUGUCUUGAGCUGCCAAUUUGUGAAUGCCACAAAAUUACAGCACAUUCAUUUUCUUGGGAAUUGUGUCACUGAACUGUUUGGAGUGGACCUACCAGCUGCAUAUCAACAUGCUUUUGUUUUCAUACGGCAAUUGGCAACGAUUUUGCGGGACGCUCUUACGAUGAAAACUAAGGAAGCAUUUCGGAAAGUUUAUGAAUGGAAGUAUAUGAAUUGCCUUGAGCUUUGGACUGGAGCUAUCUGUGCCUAUAGUUCGGAGGCAGAUUUCCAGCCACUUGCUUAUCCACUGACUCAAAUAAUAUCUGGGGUUGCCCGUUUAGUUCCAACUGCUCGGUAUUUUCCCCUCAGAUUGCGCUGUGCGAGGAUGCUCAAUCGAAUUGCUGCUUCCAGUGGGACAUUUAUACCCGUUUCUCUGCUCCUUUUAGACAUGCUAGAGAUGAAAGAAUUGAAUAGACCUACUGAAGGUGUUGGCAAAGCAGUUGAUCUACGUACCAUAUUGAAGGUGAGUAAAGCAACCCUAAAGACAAGAGCGUUUCAAGAGGCAUGCGUUUUUUCUGUGGUUGAAGAGCUUGCCGAACAUUUGGCUCAGUGGAGUUACUCUGUUGCUUUCUUUGAGUUGUCUUUUCUUCCUGCUUUGCGGUUGCGUAACUUCUGCAAAUCUGCAAAAGUCGAGAGGUUUCGUCGAGAAAUGAGGGAGCUUAUUCGUCAGAUUGAGGCCAAUGCUGAGUUUACAAAUAAAAAACGGAUAUCAGUUUCAUUUUUACCAAAUGAUCCUGCAGCUGCAUCUUUUCUUGAGGAUGAGAAAAAGUUGGGGAUAAGCCCUCUGUCGCAGCAUGUUGCAACUCUACACCAAAGGGCACAGCAAAGAAAUGACUUGCUGAUGGAAUCCAGUGUUCUUGUGGGAGCAAAGGCGUCUGUCUUUGGAAGUAAGAUAUCAGAAAAUGAUGAUGAUGAUGAUGAGAUUACCAAUGGAGAAGGCGUUGCUGUUUUUAGUAGUUCCUCAUGGUUGCCCGGAAGUGAUUCCAAGAAUAAGAAUCCUAAAGUGGAGGAAAAGAAGAAAAAGAAGAGACGAAAGGAGUCACCAGAAGAGGCAGCAUUUGACGAAGAUGUGGUUGAGGACUUGAUUAUUAGUUCAGAUGAAGAUGAAGACGAAGACAGUCCCCCAGUUGGGCCAGGUGUUGAGGACGAGCCGGUGUCUCCAAAAAAGAGAAGCAAGAAAAGGAAACUAUCUGUGGAGCCAUCAAAAAAGAAAGCUCAAUUUCAUGCCAAAAAAUCGAAGAAGAGGAAGAAGGCACAUUAAAAAUGGACACGACUGUUGGAAACGACAAAGAAAGGAGGGAGUAUUUGUUUUAAUUGUCAUUGAUGUUGUGUUUGUUUAUUUUUUGCUAGGAGGUUACGCAUAGUAAUUAUGACGUUAUGCAUAAUCAGUUCAGGCCACUUAUAGAUUUUGUAUUGCUUGUCUUUUUUGUGUGUUGUGUUUAGAUUAUGGAUUGUCUCUGUUGAACAACCAGCCGGCAACUCGUCGGUUAGGUGGAGCCGUAGUGAAAAAGAGUUGGGGUGAAAUGCCACUAGAGCUCAGAGCUAGCUGGUCAACGGGAGCCCUUUGAGAAUAUCAACAUGUUCUCUCUCAUAUUUUUCUCCGUUAUGCAGAUAUGUGGAGGAAAAAAGAAAUGAUUGAAGGAACACAGCGUCUUCAUUCAGAGUGUUGAGUGUCUUCGAGUCUUCUUUAAGAUUAGAAAGAAAUCAUAGCUCCCUGCCACUAAUGAGUCUUGUAAGAAGUCGUCCUGCUGAGAAGGUUUGAUAUCAGCAGUUUAGGGAUAUCAGAUGUACUUCUCCUUCUGAUUGAAGACAAACAAACCGCGACUUCUGACUUAUUAUCAAUGAUUGAAGAAAGAAUGCUUGCUUUC